This 406-nucleotide ribosomal RNA is filed under the name uncultured bacterium. Its description in RNAcentral is "partial 16S ribosomal RNA". It matches the Rfam family "Bacterial small subunit ribosomal RNA", at positions 30 to 526 of the family's 1533-position model. The record is from RNAcentral.
AUUGAACGCUGGCGGCAUGCUUUACACAUGCAAGUCGGACGAGUGGCGUACGGGUGAGUAACAUAUCGGAACGUACCGGGGAAUGGGGGAUAACUAAUCGAAAGAUUAGCUAAUCACGCAUAGUAUUCGAUCGGCCGAUAUCUGAUUAGCUGGGUGGUGGGGUAAAGGCCUACCAAGGCGACGAGCAGUAGCGGGUCUGAGAGGAUGAUCCGCCACACUGGAACUGAGACACGGCCCAGACUCCUACGGGAGGCAGCAGUGGGGAAUUUUGGACAAUGGGCGAAAGCCUGAUCCAGCCAUGCCGCGUGUCUGAAGAAGGCCUUCGGGUUGUAAAGCACUUUUGUCAGGGAAGCGGUACCUGAAGAAUAAGCACCGGCUAACUACGUGCCAGCAGCCGCGGUAAUAC